This 1350-nucleotide ribosomal RNA is filed under the name uncultured marine eukaryote. RNAcentral's name for it is "SSU rRNA". It matches the Rfam family "Eukaryotic small subunit ribosomal RNA", at positions 410 to 1776 of the family's 1831-position model. The record is from RNAcentral.
CCAUUCAACGAAGGAGCAGGCGCGCAAUUACCCAAUCCUGACUCAGGGAGGUAGUGACAAGAAAUGACAAUAAACCGGCUUAUGCCGGUUUAAUUGGAAUGAGUACAAUUUAAACAUCUUAACGAGGAACAAUUGGAGGGCAAGUCUGGUGCCAGCAGCCGCGGUAAUUCCAGCUCCAAUAGCGUAUACUAAAGUUGUUGCAGUUAAAAAGCUCGUAGUUGGAUUUCUGUGGGGACGGAGCGGCCGGCCGCACAUCGCGGUUCGAGCUAGCGCUUUCCCUACAUCCUGCCGCGAACCGUGCUACCAUUAGUUUGGUGGCGCCGGGGAUCGGCUCGAUUACUUUGAGAAAAAUAGAGUGUUCAAAGCAGGCCACAUGCCUUGAAUAAGUUAGCAUGGAAUAAUAACUAAGGACUUCGGUUCUAUUUUGUUGGUGUUCGGGACUGAAGUAAUGAUUGAUAGGGACAGUUGGGGCGGUCUGUAUUCCAAAGCGAGAGGUGAAAUUCUUAGACCUUCGGAAGACAAACAGCUGCGAAAGCGUUCCGCAAGGAUGUUCCCUUUGAUCAAGAACGAAAGUUGGGGGAUCGAAGACGAUCAGAUACCGUCGUAGUCUCAACUAUAAACUAUACCAGCUAGGGAUCGGCCAACGUUAUUUUAUACCGACUUGGUCGGCACCUUAUGAGAAAUCAAAGCAUCUGGGUUCCGGGGGGAGUAUGGUCGCAAGGCUGAAACUUAAAGGAAUUGACGGAAGGGCACCACCAGCCGUGGAGCCUGUGGCUUAAUUUGACUCAACACGGGAAAACUUACCAGGUCCAGACAUAGUAAGGAUUGACAGAUUGAUAGCUCUUUCUUGAUUCUGUGGGUGGUGGUGCAUGGCCGUUCUUAGUUGGUGGAGUGAUUUGUCUGGUUAAUUCCGUUAACGAACGAGACCCCAGCCUGCUAAAUAGCGCGAGUGAGCUUUGCUCGCUGCGAGCUUCUUAGAGGGACUAUGAUGCGCGAUAGCACAUGGAAGUUUGGGGCAAUAACAGGUCUGUGAUGCCCUUAGAUGUUCUGGGCCGCACACGGGCUACACUGGCGCCUGCAACGAGCAUAUCAGCUGGCCUGAGAGGGUCUUGGCUAAUCUUUUGAACCGGCGCCGUGCUUGGGAUUGACCUUUGCAAUUGUUGGUCAUGCAACGAGGAAUGCCUUGUAAACGCGAGUCAUCAGCUCGCAUUGAAUACGUCCCUGCCCUUUGUACACACCGCCCGUCGCUCCUACCGAUGAAUGUUCCGAUGAAAUUUUCGGAGAGCACCUGUGAACUUGGCUCUGCCUUGCGAACGGGAGGCUCAAAGUCACAUAAAUCUGAACAUUAAG